Molecule: ribosomal RNA, 501 nt
Filed under: uncultured bacterium
Lineage: Bacteria
Description: partial 16S ribosomal RNA
Rfam family: Bacterial small subunit ribosomal RNA
Source: RNAcentral
AUUGAACGCUGGCGGCAGGCUUAACACAUGCAAGUCGAGCGGAGCGAGGGUGCUUGCACCUUAGCUUAGCGGCGGACGGGUGAGUAAUGCUUAGGAAUCUGCCUAUUAGUGGGGGACAACAUUCCGAAAGGAAUGCUAAUACCGCAUACGCCCUACGGGGGAAAGCAGGGGAUCUUCGGACCUUGCGCUAAUAGAUGAGCCUAAGUCGGAUUAGCUAGUUGGUGGGGUAAAAGCCUACCAAGGCGACGAUCUGUAGCGGGUCUGAGAGCAUGAUGAGAGAAACUGGGACCGAGAGACGGCCCAGACUAUUACGGGAGGCUGCGGCGGGGUAUAUUCGACAAUGGGCGGAGUCCUUAUCCAGCAAUGCCGCGUGUGUGAAGAAGGCCUUUCGGUUGUAGAGCAUGUUAAGCGAGGAGGAGGCUACUUAGAUUAAUACUCUGGGAUAGCAGACGUUACUCGCAGAAUAAGCACCGGCUAACUCUGUGCCAGCCGCCGCCGUAA